GGGGCAUCCAUUUUCCCAAGACUUCUUUGACAGAGGGCUGCCUCCUUGGCAAACAACAGGGCAGAAGGUCUGGGGGCAGGAGAAGGCCACAGAGGAGCCCAGGAAAGCCCAGGGCCGGCCACUUCGGGGCAGAGGUGAUCAGGAAGCCCCCCACCUACAACAGAUGCAGCGGGAGAGAACUGAGCCCAAACUGCUCCGCAAGCCUGGGCUUGAAUUCCUGCUCCGCCGUUCGGAGCUGAAUACCCUACAGCUCUCAUCUCCCGUGGUCCUUCAACAUCCCUGGGAGGAACUCAUACUCACUCUACUUUAUAGACGCGGGCCGGGCACCAGAGAGCCUAAGUGAUUCGGCCAAGGUCACGCAGCCGAACUGACUGAUGUGUGCUCAGAAGCCCAAGAGAGAGAAGUCAGCCUACCUGCAAGUGUAGCGUCACUUUGAAAUCGUAAAUCUAAUCCUAUGACUUA
Molecule: long non-coding RNA, 462 nt
Organism: Leopardus geoffroyi (Geoffroy's cat)
Lineage: Eukaryota; Metazoa; Chordata; Mammalia; Carnivora; Felidae
Exons: 3
Source: RefSeq, a predicted model, not a curated record